UUUCCGUAGGUGAACCUGCGGAAGGAUCAUUAUUGAAACUUGAAUCGUAGCAUUGAGAACUGUUGCUGACCUGUUAAAGGGUAUGUGCACGUUCGACGUGUUGCGUUCUAUUCAUCCACCUGUGCACCUUUGUAGACUUGAUUAACUUUCGCUCUCGAGCGGUUAGAAGGGUUGCUUUCGAGCUCCCUUUGUCUAUCAAGUCUAUGUCUAUAUAAUCUCUUGCAUGUCUAGAAUGUCUUGUUUAUGGGACGCAAGUCCUUUAAAUCUUAUACAACUUUCAACAACGGAUCUCUUGGCUCUC
This 301-nucleotide unclassified non-coding RNA is filed under the name plant metagenome. RNAcentral's name for it is "partial contains small subunit ribosomal RNA, internal transcribed spacer 1, and 5.8S ribosomal RNA". The record is from RNAcentral.